This 486-nucleotide ribosomal RNA is filed under the name uncultured bacterium. RNAcentral describes it as "partial 16S ribosomal RNA". It matches the Rfam family "Bacterial small subunit ribosomal RNA", at positions 30 to 507 of the family's 1533-position model. The record is from RNAcentral.
AUUGAACGCUGGCGGCAUGCCUUACACAUGCAAGUCGAAUGGCAGCACGGGUGCUUGCACCUGGUGGCGAGUGGCGAACGGGUGAGUAAUACAUCGGAACAUGUCCUGUAGUGGGGGAUAGCCCGGCGAAAGCCGGAUUAAUACCGCAUACGAUCUACGGAUGAAAGCGGGGGACCUUCGGGCCUCGCGCUAUAGGGUUGGCCGAUGGCUGAUUAGCUAGUUGGUGGGGUAAAGGCCUACCAAGGCGACGAUCAGUAGCUGGUCUGAGAGGACGACCAGCCACACUGGGACUGAGACACGGCCCAGACUCCUACGGGAGGCAGCAGUGGGGAAUUUUGGACAAUGGGCGAAAGCCUGAUCCAGCAAUGCCGCGUGUGUGAAGAAGGCCUUCGGGUUGUAAAGCACUUUUGUCCGGAAAGAAAUCCUUGGCCCUAAUACGGUCGGGGAAUGACGGUACCGGAAGAAUAAGCACCGGCUAACUACGUG